CAGAGGCCUCGAGCGUUAGGCGGAAUCACUGGGCUUAAAGCGUGUGUAGGCGGACCCCUAAGUGUCUUGUGAAAUCCCACGGCUCACCCGUGGAACCGCUGGGCAUACUGGGGGUCUUGGGCCAUUCAGGGGCGACUGGAACAAGCGGUGGAGCGGUGAAAUGCGUAGAUAUCGCUUGGAACGCCGACGGUGAAAACAGGUCGCUGGGAAUGUGCCGACGCUGAGACACGAAAGCCAGGGGAGCAAACGGGAUUAGAUACCCCGGUAGUCCUGGCCCUAAACGAUGUCCACUAGAUUGCGGCGGGUUUGACCCCGUCGCGGUCGAAGCAAAAGUGUUAAGUGGACCGCCUGGGAAGUACGGUCGCAAGGCUA
Molecule: ribosomal RNA, 372 nt
Filed under: uncultured organism
Description: bacterial SSU rRNA
Rfam family: Bacterial small subunit ribosomal RNA
Source: RNAcentral